UGCAACAGAAAGGCAAUAUUCCUCCUGUAAACAACACUACCGAGAAAACGAUGAAUGAUGGAAUGUUUAGGAGCUUUUUGCAGUUCAUGCAAAACCAGACGAGGGAGACUCGUGCACAAAAUACGGGUGGAAAUGAUAGCAAUGCGCGGCUUGCCACAGCCAAGUAGUUCAAGGAGUUGGGACCACCAGAAUUUAAGGGAAAGCCAGAUCCGAUCAUGGCGAAAACAUGGGUCAAGAAAAUUACCAAGAUAUUCGAUGUCUUGGGAUGUACGGAGGAACAGAAGGUU
This 287-nucleotide long non-coding RNA is filed under the name Panax ginseng (ginseng). RNAcentral describes it as "long non-coding RNA (PGIN_LNC004440)". Lineage: Eukaryota; Viridiplantae; Streptophyta; Magnoliopsida; Apiales; Araliaceae. The record is from RNAcentral.